UCUUAAAUCACAAAAUUAGCAGCUCCCACAGUGUGUUCUGUUUAUCACACAACUACCAUUACUGCUUGUUCUCCCCUUUUAAGUAAUCUCUAGGCAGAGGAUCAGAGACCUAGGCUUGCUUCUAAAAUAUAUUUUCUCUUGACAAUUCAGUUGAUUAAAAUGUUUAAGAUCAGGUUUUAUUUAUUUGUUUACCUGAGAAAUAGAUCACUGUUUCUGGGGACUUUGAGACAUCUUCCAACAUCCCUGACUCUUAGUGGUUUUAAAAUAGAAAUGUUUAGUAAUCCUAUCUUAACAUUCACCUAUUUUAUUCUUCAAAAGGCCAGUUUCUUAUCCUCUGGACAUUUUCUAAAUGCCUGCUUAUAUGACUUUUUGCUGUAUUACCUUCUUGAUCUAAUAAACACUCCAAAAUGACUCCUA
This 417-nucleotide long non-coding RNA is filed under the name Homo sapiens (human). Its description in RNAcentral is "novel transcript, sense intronic to DENND5B". Lineage: Eukaryota; Metazoa; Chordata; Mammalia; Primates; Hominidae. The record is from RNAcentral.